AUUGAACGCUGGCGGCAGGCUUAACACAUGCAAGUCGAGCGGGGUGAUGGUGCUUGCACUAUCACUUAGCGGCGGACGGGUGAGUAAUGCUUAGGAAUCUGCCUAUUAGUGGGGGACAACAUCUCGAAAGGGACGCUAAUACCGCAUACGUCCUACGGGAGAAAGCAGGGGAUCACUUGUGACCUUGCGCUAAUAGAUGAGCCUAAGUCGGACUAGCUAGUUGGUGGGGUAAAGGCCUACCAAGGCGACGAUCUGUAGCGGGUCUGAGAGGAUGAUCCGCCACACUGGGACUGAGACACGGCCCAGACUCCUACGGGAGGCAGCAGUGGGGAAUAUUGGACAAUGGGGGGAACCCUGAUCCAGCCAUGCCGCGUGUGUGAAGAAGGCCUUAUGGUUGUAAAGCACUUUAAGCGAGGAGGAGGCUCUUUUGGUUAAUACCCAAGAUGAGUGGACGUUACUCGCAGAAUAAGCACCGGCUAACUCUGUGCCAGCAGCCGCCGUAA
This 503-nucleotide ribosomal RNA is filed under the name uncultured bacterium. RNAcentral describes it as "partial 16S ribosomal RNA". It matches the Rfam family "Bacterial small subunit ribosomal RNA", at positions 30 to 523 of the family's 1533-position model. The record is from RNAcentral.